GUGGGGAAUUUUGGACAAUGGGCGCAAGCCUGAUCCAGCCAUGCCGCGUGUGUGAAGAAGGUCUUCGGAUUGUAAAGCACUUUAAGUUGGGAGGAAGGGCAGUAAGUUAAUACCUUGCUGUUUUGACGUUACCGACAGAAUAAGCACCGGCUAACUUCGUGCCAGCAGCCGCGGUAAUACGAAGGGUGCAAGCGUUAAUCGGAAUUACUGGGCGUAAAGCGCGCGUAGGUGGUUUUGUAAGUUGGAGGUGAAAUCCCCGGGCUCAACCUGGGAACUGCCUCCAAAACUGCAUGACUAGAGUACGGUAGAGGGUAGUGGAAUGUCCUGUGUAGCGGUGAAAUGCGUAGAUAUAGGAAGGAACACCAGUGGCGAAGGCGACUACCUGGACUGAUACUGACACUGAGGUGCGAAAGCGUGGGGAGCAAACAGGAUUAGAUACUCUUGUAGUCC
Molecule: ribosomal RNA, 450 nt
Filed under: uncultured bacterium
Lineage: Bacteria
Description: bacterial SSU rRNA
Rfam family: Bacterial small subunit ribosomal RNA
Source: RNAcentral